CGCUGCUGGGCGAGGAGGACGUGCGCACUGGCGCUAGAUCUGAGUGCGCCGGCAGUCGAUCUGCUUUGAGGCUUGAAGGAGGCGCUGAACCGGCCCGGGCGUGAAGACGGCGGCGUGGGGAGCUGGAGCACGAGCGGGAGGAGCUGGAGCCGCAUCUGGAUGUCGCCGUGAUGAUGAGCCGCAUCUGGACGUCGUCGUAGAUGGCCAGGGCUUUAAUCUGGAGCUCAUUUAACUUGGCCAGGGCUUAAAUCUGGAGCUCCAUGGCGUUCCACAAGCGCGGCGGCCAGGCAAUACUCCACUUGUACUGCAUCAAGGAAUGAGUACUUCAAACGCUGGUAGCAUCAGCAGCACCAAAGGGUAGCUUCAGGUUCUCUCCUGGCCAUGGAGCCAUGGGCUGUGAAUAUUAAGCACGAAACAGGGGUCUCCUUUCCUCUUAAGCAGAGCAGCAGCUCCGGUUGAGGAGAUGAACCUGGGCCGCAGCCGAGCCCAGCAGCAGGUCGAGGAAGAGCCUCCACCUGGGCAUGCACGGGCCAGGAGGAGCUCCUGGACGUGGGAGAGGAGGAGCGCCUGGGCUGGAGGUGGAGGCGCCUGGACCUGGGCGCAGUCGCCGGAUG
Long non-coding RNA from Triticum aestivum (bread wheat), 614 nucleotides. RefSeq lists it as uncharacterized. The record is from RefSeq and is a predicted model, not a curated record. The transcript has 3 exons. Lineage: Eukaryota; Viridiplantae; Streptophyta; Magnoliopsida; Poales; Poaceae.